RNAcentral lists this ribosomal RNA (478 nucleotides) under uncultured bacterium. RNAcentral describes it as "partial 16S ribosomal RNA". It matches the Rfam family "Bacterial small subunit ribosomal RNA", at positions 28 to 526 of the family's 1533-position model. The record is from RNAcentral.
GACGAACGCUGGCGGCGUGCUUAACACAUGCAAGUCGAACGGUAAGGCCCUUCGGGGUACACGAGUGGCGAACGGGUGAGUAACACGUGGGUGAUCUGCCCUGCACUUCGGGAUAAGCCUGGGAAACUGGGUCUAAUACCGGAUAGGACCACUGCCUGCAUGGGUGGUGGUGGAAAGCUUUUGCGGUGUGGGAUGGGCCCGCGGCCUAUCAGCUUGUUGGUGGGGUGAUGGCCUACCAAGGCGACGACGGGUAGCCGGCCUGAGAGGGUGACCGGCCACACUGGGAGUGAGAUACGGCCCAGACUCCUACGGGAGGCAGCAGUGGGGAAUAUUGCACAAUGGGCGCAAGCCUGAUGCAGCGACGCCGCGUGAGGGAUGACGGCCUCCGGGUUGUAAACCUCUUUUAGCACCGACGAAGCGCAAGUGACGGUAGGUGCAGAAGAAGGACCGGCCAACUACGUGCCAGCCGCCGUAAUAC